RNAcentral lists this ribosomal RNA (383 nucleotides) under uncultured eukaryote. Its description in RNAcentral is "partial 18S ribosomal RNA". It matches the Rfam family "Eukaryotic small subunit ribosomal RNA", at positions 592 to 976 of the family's 1831-position model. The record is from RNAcentral.
CAAUAGCGUAUAUUAAAGUUGUUGCAGUUAAAAAGCUCGUAGUUGGAUUUCUGGUGGGAGCGAUCGGUCUGGCGCUUAGCGCGAGUACUUGCAUCGUCUCCGGCCAUCCUUGGGGAGAGUCUGUCUGGCAUUAGGUUGUCGGGCAGAGGAUCCUCAUCGUUUACUGUGAAAAAAUUAGAGUGUUCAAAGCAGGCUUAUGCCGUUGAAUAUAUUAGCAUGGAAUAAUAAGAUAGGACUUUGGUACUAUUUUGUUGGUUUGCGCACCAAAGUAAUGAUUAAUAGGGACAGUUGGGGGUAUUCGUAUUCUAUUGCUAGAGGUGAAAUUCUUAAAUUUAUGGAAGACGAACUACUGCGAAAGCAUUUACCAAGGAUGUUUUCAUUAA